This 406-nucleotide ribosomal RNA is filed under the name uncultured bacterium. RNAcentral describes it as "partial 16S ribosomal RNA". It matches the Rfam family "Bacterial small subunit ribosomal RNA", at positions 30 to 526 of the family's 1533-position model. The record is from RNAcentral.
AUUGAACGCUGGCGGCAGGCCUAACACAUGCAAGUCGAACGAGUGGCGGACGGGUGAGUAAUGUCUGGGAAACUGCCCGAUGGAGGGGGAUAACUACUGGAAAAGGUAGCUACUACCGCAUACCAUCGGAUGUGCCCAGAUGGGAUUAGCUAGUAGGUGGGGUAACGGCUCACCUAGGCGACGAUCCCUAGCUGGUCUGAGAGGAUGACCAGCCACACUGGAACUGAGACAAGGUCCAGAUUCCUACGGUAGGCAGCAGGGGGGAAUAUUGCACAAUGGGCGCAAGCCUGAUGCAGCCAGGCCGCGUGGAUGAAGAAGGCCUUCGGGUUGUAAAGUAUUUUCAGCGUGGAGGCGUUACUCGCAGAAGAAGCACCGGCUAACUCCGUGCCAGCAGCCGCGGUAAUAC